This 253-nucleotide ribosomal RNA is filed under the name uncultured bacterium. RNAcentral's name for it is "partial 16S ribosomal RNA". It matches the Rfam family "Bacterial small subunit ribosomal RNA", at positions 524 to 776 of the family's 1533-position model. The record is from RNAcentral.
CACGUAGGCACCAAGCGUUGUCCGGAUUUAUUGGGCGUAAAGAGCUCGUAGGCGGUUCGGUAAGUCGGGUGUGAAAGCCCCGGGCUCAACCUGGGAAUUGCAUUCGAGACUGAAUAGCUAGGGUACGGUAGAGGGAAGCGGAAUUUCCGGUGUAGCGGUGAAAUGCGUAGAUAUCGGAAGGAACAUCAGUGGCGAAAGCGGCUUCCUGGACCAGUACCGACGUUCAGGCACGAAAGCGUGGGGAGCAAACAGG